GUGAGCUUUCUUGUUCAACGUUAGAAAUUGCAAAAACUGCCUAAAUUCUUCUUCAUUAAUUGAAUUUGCAGAACUGCCAGCAUUCUUAUUCUUUUCAACUAAAAUGGAUUUGCAGAAACUUUGAGUCUUUGAGUGAGGCAGGGCCACAGGGAGCAGAGCACAAGAAGCAAAUAUGCAGGGAGCAGAGCACAACAAGCAAAUAUGCAGUGACGAUGAGAUGAAAUUUGAGUCUUUGAAUACUUUGUUUUCAACUAUUGUCCGCUUUGUUCUUGUGUCAUUCAUUCAUUUGUGUGAACUGUAAGUGAUGGUAUGAAGUGAUGAUGACAUGAACUGUAAGUGGCUAAGUGAUAUGAAUUAUGAAGUGAUGAAUUGAUGAUGAGAUGAACUGUAAGAGUGUAAGUGAUGAACUGAAGUUGAUGUGAGAGAGUGAGAGAGUGAGAGUUAUAAGUUAUUUGAUUGUUUUACAUUUGCUUAUGUUUUUCUAUUGCUGA
RNAcentral lists this long non-coding RNA (491 nucleotides) under Rosa chinensis. RNAcentral's name for it is "sRNA RchiOBHm_Chr5g0043681". The record is from RNAcentral. Lineage: Eukaryota; Viridiplantae; Streptophyta; Magnoliopsida; Rosales; Rosaceae.